Long non-coding RNA from Lutra lutra (Eurasian river otter), 345 nucleotides. RefSeq lists it as uncharacterized. The record is from RefSeq and is a predicted model, not a curated record. The transcript is spliced from 3 exons. NCBI's taxonomy places the organism in Eukaryota, Metazoa, Chordata, Mammalia, Carnivora, Mustelidae.
UUAUCAUCAACCAUCCCAGAGGGUCUUUCCUGCCAUCGCUUCUUUUUAAGUUCAGUCAACAAGGAGCCAAUCUGGACUGAGAAGACUGACCUAUGGAGAGUGAACACACCAAAGACUAACGACAAAGGGGAAUUCCUAAGCCUGCUCCUUAUAGAAACCUUGGAUAGCUCAUUGCCUUGAUGCCUUGAUCCAUAAAUGUUCAAAGGAGCAAAUGUGUUCAUGUUUGGCUUCCAGGAUGGAAGGUGUAUAUGAGUCUUUUAAAAAUGAUUUAUUUCUUGUAUUUCAUGUUUUAUGCCUUCCUUAUUGUAGGAGGAAAUAACUCUAGGUGUGGGGGAGGAGGAGAGA